CCCGCUGAACUUAAGCAUAUCAGUAAGCGGAGGAAAAGAAACUAACCAGGAUUCCCCUAGUAACGGCGAGUGAAGCGGGAAGAGCUCAAAUUUAAAAUCUGGGAGCCUUGGGUGGCUCCCCGAAUUGUAGUUUGAAGUGGCGUGUUCUGUGGCGGUAGCCUGGCGGGUCCAAGUCCCUUGGAACAGGGCGUCAGAGAGGGUGAUAACCCCGUGUCGUGGCCCGCUCCGCUUGCCGCCGCUGUAUGACGCGCCCACAAAGAGUCGGGUUGCUUGGGAAUGCAGCCCAAAAUGGGUGGUAAACCUCAUCUAAGGCUAAAUAACGGCGAGAGACCGAUAGCGAACAAGUACCGUGAGGGAAAGAUGAAAAGAACUUUGAAAAGAGAGUUAAAAAGUACGUGAAAUUGUUAAAAGGGAAACGCUUGAAAGCCAGUGACCGAAAGGAUGCUGCCGCCGGGGAAUCAGCUGGUGGGGGUCGCAACGCCCCUCGCCGGUGCACUUCCCCGGUGUGCGAGGCCAACGUCAGCUUUUUUUAAGCCGGCUGGAGAAGGGGGCCUGGGAAGGUGAGUCAGGUUGAGGCACUCGUGCCUUGCCAGACUGUUAUAGCCCGGGUCUCACAAACACAGGCCGGGAAGGCUGAGGAAAUUUACGGCGCCUCUUUUUUGGGGGCCCCUGCCCCUGGCUGGCCUGGCCCUGCUGUGCUGGUAGAUCCCCUCGGGGGUCUGGCAGACGGUGGGGUCAUGGCUGGCCAGUGAGUGGGUGGGGUGCCUCACACUUCAGGAGGCCCGGAUGUUGGCGCAAAUGGUUUCAAUCGACCCGUCUUGAAACACGG
This 829-nucleotide ribosomal RNA is filed under the name uncultured fungus. RNAcentral's name for it is "eukaryotic LSU rRNA". It matches the Rfam family "Eukaryotic large subunit ribosomal RNA", at positions 24 to 664 of the family's 3401-position model. Lineage: Eukaryota; Fungi. The record is from RNAcentral.